RNAcentral lists this ribosomal RNA (497 nucleotides) under uncultured bacterium. RNAcentral's name for it is "partial 16S ribosomal RNA". It matches the Rfam family "Bacterial small subunit ribosomal RNA", at positions 28 to 507 of the family's 1533-position model. The record is from RNAcentral.
GAUGAACGCUGGCGGCGUGCCUAAUACAUGCAAGUCGAGCGAACGGACGAGAAGCUUGCUUUUCUGAUGUUAGCGGCGGACGGGUGAGUAACACGUGGAUAACCUACCUAUAAGACUGGGAUAACUUCGGGAAACCGGAGCUAAUACCGGAUAAUAUUUUGAACCGCAUGGUUCAAAAGUGAAAGACGGUCUUGCUGUCACUUAUAGAUGGAUCCGCGCUGCAUUAGCUAGUUGGUAAGGUAACGGCUUACCAAGGCAACGAUGCAUAGCCGACCUGAGAGGGUGAUCGGCCACACUGGAACUGAGACACGGUCCAGACUCCUACGGGAGGCAGCAGUAGGGAAUAUUCCGCAAUGGGCGAAAGCCUGACGGAGCAACGCCGCGUGAGUGAUGAAGGUCUUCGGAUCGUAAAACUCUGUUAUUAGGGAAGAACAUAUGUGUAAGUAACUGUGCACAUCUUGACGGUACCUAAUCAGAGAGCCACGGCUAACUACGUG